AUUGAACGCUGGCGGCAGGCCUAACACAUGCAAGUCGAAUGGUAACAGGAAACAGCUUGCUGUUUCGCUGACGAGUGGCGGACGGGUGAGUAAUGUCUGGGAAACUCCUGAAUGGGGGGGGAUAACAACGGAAAAGGGUGGCUAAUACCGAAUAACUCCGAAAGCCCAAAGGGGGGGACCUUGGGGCGUCUGGCCAGCAGAGGCGCCCAGAUGGUCAUAGCUAGGCGGGGGGGUAACAGCUCACCUGGGUGGAGAUCCCUAGCGGGUCUGAGGGGGUGACGAGCCACACUGGAACUGAGACACGGUCCAGACUCCGACGGGAGGCAGCAGUGGGGAAUGUUGCAAAAUGGGCGGAAGCCUGAUGCAGCCAUGCCGCGUGUAUGAAGAAGGCCUGCGGGUUGUAAAGUACUUUCAGCGGGGAGGAAGGGAGUAAAGUUAAUACCUUUGCUCAUUGACGUUACCCGCAGAAGAAACACCGGCUAACUCCGU
This 489-nucleotide ribosomal RNA is filed under the name uncultured bacterium. Its description in RNAcentral is "partial 16S ribosomal RNA". It matches the Rfam family "Bacterial small subunit ribosomal RNA", at positions 29 to 506 of the family's 1533-position model. The record is from RNAcentral.